AUUGAACGCUGGCGGCAUGCCUUACACAUGCAAGUCGAACGGUAACAGGUUAAGCUGACGAGUGGCGAACGGGUGAGUAAUAUAUCGGAACGUGCCCAGACGUGGGGGAUAACGUAGCGAAAGCUACGCUAAUACCGCAUACCAUCUACGGAUGAAAGCGGGGGAUCGCAAGACCUCGCGCGAUUGGAGCGGCCGAUAUCAGAUUAGCUAGUUGGUGAGGUAAAGGCUCACCAAGGCGACGAUCUGUAGCUGGUCUGAGAGGACGACCAGCCACACUGGAACUGAGACACGGUCCAGACUCCUACGGGAGGCAGCAGUGGGGAAUUUUGGACAAUGGGCGCAAGCCUGAUCCAGCAAUGCCGCGUGCAGGACGAAGGCCUUCGGGUUGUAAACUGCUUUUGUACGGAGCGAAACGGUCUUCUCUAAUACAGGGGGCUAAUGACGGUACCGUAAGAAUAAGCACCGGCUAACUACGUGCCAGCCGCCGCCGUAA
This 493-nucleotide ribosomal RNA is filed under the name uncultured bacterium. Its description in RNAcentral is "partial 16S ribosomal RNA". It matches the Rfam family "Bacterial small subunit ribosomal RNA", at positions 30 to 523 of the family's 1533-position model. The record is from RNAcentral.